GGUAGAAUGGACUUUCUGAUGCUUCUCUGUCUCUUCGUUGGGUGAUAAGGCUCAGAGAAGAAACACGCCCAGGUCACAGAACUAGGCGGUUGAGAAGUCAGGGUAAAGCAGUCCUGGGCACUGUGUUAACGUGUGAUGCAGUUGCUGUGGGGAAGGACUGUGAGGUUCUGGGGGUAUUGCAGGCAAGCUGGCCCGUGCGAGGGGCUGGACCCAGUCUGUCAAAUGCAUGAAGAGUGGAAUUAGGUUAAUGUGUUCAGAAAAUUAUUUGACUCGCUCAUGCUUCAGAAACAGAAGUGUGUAUGCAGGAGACAUGAAAUAAAGAGUCCUGAUUAUUCUAACUGCUCAUCCUCAUCAAAUGAGGAAACGAUUAAAAGCACCAUAUAUAAGUGUGUUAUCUUUAUUACUGUGAUUCCUUUAAUAAUUUCUAAUUCAAAUUGUGUUUACAAUAGAAUCAGUCAAAAGCAGAGUCCUCUGAAUGGGAAUCAAAUGUAGAAAGAUGAGG
Molecule: long non-coding RNA, 502 nt
Filed under: Bos taurus (domestic cattle)
Lineage: Eukaryota; Metazoa; Chordata; Mammalia; Artiodactyla; Bovidae
Description: long non-coding RNA NONBTAT012776
Source: RNAcentral